GAUGAAGAACGUAGCGAAAUGCGAUACUUGGUGUGAAUUGCAGAAUCCCGUGAACCAUCGAGUCUUUGAACGCGAGUUGCGCCCGAAGCCAUUAGGCCGAGGGCACGCCUGCCUGGGUGUCACACACCGUUACCCUCGCGCCAACGUCCAUCGUUGGCCGCGGCGCGGGGCGUGUGCUGACCUCCCGCGAGCGGGGUCUCGUGGUUGGUUGAAAAUCGAGUUCGCGGUCGAGGGUGCCGUGAUGAAAUGGUGGAUGGGCGACGCCCGAGGCCAAUCACGCGCGACUCCGUCCGGCUCGGACUCCUGGACCCCUUCGGCGUCUCCGGACGCUCUUUGGCGAGACCUCAGGUCAGGCGGGGCUACCCGCUGAGUUUAAGCAUAUCAAUAAGCGGAGGA
Molecule: unclassified non-coding RNA, 396 nt
Filed under: soil metagenome
Description: partial contains 5.8S ribosomal RNA, internal transcribed spacer 2, and large subunit ribosomal RNA
Rfam family: 5.8S ribosomal RNA (bases 1-122)
Source: RNAcentral